GAUGAGAACGUAGCGAAAUGCGAUAAGUAAUGUGAAUUGCAGAAUUCAGUGAAUCAUCGAAUCUUUGAACGCACAUUGCGCCCUUUGGCAUUCCGAAGGGCACACCUGUCCGAGCGCCGUCGCACAACUGAGGCGCAGCCUUGCGUUGGCGGGCGACUUGUGAGUAGCGAGUCGCCGCCCAAACGAGACGGCGCCGCGCCGCGGCCGACGAAGCACGAAAGCGGAAGUCGACGCGGAGGCGGUUGCCUGUAGGAAGACACAGCUUGGCCUCGGAUCAGGUGGGGAUACCCGCUGAACUUAAGCAUAUCAAUAAGCGGAGGA
RNAcentral lists this unclassified non-coding RNA (321 nucleotides) under soil metagenome. Its description in RNAcentral is "partial contains 5.8S ribosomal RNA, internal transcribed spacer 2, and large subunit ribosomal RNA". The stretch from base 5 to 119 matches the Rfam family "5.8S ribosomal RNA", at positions 40 to 154 of the family's 154-position model. The record is from RNAcentral.